Molecule: long non-coding RNA, 2984 nt
Filed under: Heterocephalus glaber (naked mole-rat)
Lineage: Eukaryota; Metazoa; Chordata; Mammalia; Rodentia; Bathyergidae
Description: lncRNA (ENSHGLG00000036189.1)
Source: RNAcentral
GGAGCUGGCUUGACAGUAGUUUUCCUACUUGCUUGGGAAACUUGCUUCAUUGUCUCCCUCCUCCUCAUGGCUUGUGACUUUGGCCUGCUGCCUGGUGCCACUCUUCCUGGAUUGCACUCCCCAGUGUUGGGCACUCAAAAGGAAAUCAGAUGGAGCCUCGAGAAGGCCACAGUAAUCAGUUCAAUGUGAAAUUAUUACAAUAGAGGUACAGUGCUCUGGAGUGCAGCUUAUCAAGGAGGGAGCAAGCAGAUAAGUUGUACAGCAAGAAGAUGGAGUAGUCACCAGGUUGUUUUGUCAACUGUAAUUGGAUCCCGUACUCUACCCACAAUAAUGGUGUUCCUGGGAAGAAGUCAUGAGCUUUGGGCAUAUGUAACCCUCUUAUGCAUUACUAGUAGUGAGUUGAACAAAAUCCUUCCAGAUUUGCUAAGCUGAGGUCCCAGGCCUCACAGGUUUGUCAAUGACACCAAGGCAAGUCUUGAUUAAGGUUGAUAAUGGUAACUUACAGUUAAUACUGAUGAAAUUAUUACUUUUCAAGCUUUGAUUACAUUAUUUUUUGAGUAGGCCACACUUUCAGAAGAUAUAAAAUAUUGUUCAGUGAAAACUCUUUUCUCCAUCUGUUUCCCUAAACAUGUGUUUCCUUUUCUUGGAGGCAACCAAUACUACAAUUUCUUGAGUCUCUUCCAGAAAUAGUGUAUGCACAGACAAGCACUCACAUAUGCAAUCUUAAAGAAAAUUUGAUUAGUGUCAGAUUUUUAUAUCAAGGAUAACAUUAACAAUGAAUUUUCUUCUCUUCAGGGAGAAAUAGUUAUUAGUUUUUCAAAUUGCAAAAUAAUGCAUAUUCAUUACAGAAAACCUAGAAAAUACAAAAAACAGAAGACAAAAUGAAUAUUCCCUUUAUCUCAGCAUUUGGAGAUGAUUUUUAUUAUUAUUAUUAUUAUUUGGUAUGAGGAAUUGAACUCAGGACCUGUGCUUGCCAGACAGGUGUAGUGCCACUGAGCUAAAUCCCUGGCCCUUUGGAGAUAACUUUUAGUUAUCUAUAAUUAUUUAUAUUGCCUUCUAGUUUUUUCACAUGACAUGUACAAUAUACUUCAUUGACAUUUUUUCUUUUCCCUCACUAUAUUGUUUCUACCUUUGCAAGUCAUUAAAUGUGUUUUCUAGACAUCAUGGCCUGUUCCUGUAUAGCAUAAUUUAUUUAACCAUGAUCUCUUGUUUGAAAUUCAGGUUGACUACAGUUUUGGACCAUUAUAAGCUUUCAUUUGAUGUAUAUUUAGCUUUUAUUUAUUGAUGGCUUUAUAAAUUAAGUGCAAAUUGUCUAGGGAGAAGGCUGUCUUUGUCUUGAUGACAUAUAUCCCUCGAGUACAGUGCCUAGCUAAAUGGAUUUAAUGGUUUUAAGACCAUAUCUGCAAUAAAAAUGAAAGGUUUAAGUAAAAUUAACCAGAAGGUUUUGAGUUUCUGGUGUAAGUUGACUUUUGGAAGAUAGGAUAGUAUUCUUUCACUUAGAGCUACAAAUUCUGUUUGUUCUCUUUUAUAGAAGGAAGAAUUGUGAGUUGGGAUCUUAAAUAGAAGAACAAAGUUAAAAAAUGGGCCUCAAUUUUUAUAAACCUAACCCUCUGCAAUUCCCCUUGUUUUGAGACAAAGGAGAACAUUUUACACCACUGGAAUAAACAAACUGUAGGGAUACCUACACCAGCUGAAAAACAACAGAUAAAACACUCUCUGCACAAGUAAUUGUAAGACCACACCUUUAACACAUUACCAAUAGCUGCUUUCUCAAAACAUUUCCUUGUUCCUUGGGGGAAGUCACUUUUAAAUGAUAGUUAUAGUGCUGGUGAGGUAGCUCAGUGGUAGAGAACUCAAGGCCUUUGGUUCAGUCCCCAGGACCAUCAAAUAAAAAAGGUGAUAGUCCAUAGACAAUUGGGCUCUUGUUUUUUGUUAUUGUAAACUAGGCAACACAAUUUUUGGUACUUGUUCAGUCUGUAAAGAAAUCCUUCCCAUCCCUAACUGUGAGUCUCCACAGUGGAAAGAAAGAAAGGUGCCUCCAGGACAAAGAACAGAUAAAUGAGAAGGAGGACAGAGGACAUUCCAUUCCUAACUCAGCCAAAGGUUGACAUUUCACAAAGAAUAUGUGGACAUCCAUGUUGUGUUGACAAAGCCCCAUGCCUGGGUACCGAGGUGUCCACAAGGAUGAGGGGACACGGAGCGCCCAGUUGUUGUAGCCACAGUAGCAGGGACGAUUGAACACUUGGGCACCUGAUCUUGUUCUUCCUUUCAAAGGAACUUGCACGGUCAUUCAGGCUGGGUUAGAGUUGUGCAGGUGGAAAGAAAUCUGCUGCACACGCCUUGGACUUGGAAUACAUUUUCAGAGAGAAGAGAAAUAGUCCCAGGUCCCCUCAUCACUGGAAAACAGACUUUUGACUAACAUGGCAGAAGGAAGAUCUUUCUUGGGUUUGGCCUUGCCUGAAGGUAUAAAAAACACUUCUACUUGUUAAUUUUUUCAUGAUUAUUUUUUAGACACUAAUGGAGAAAGUUCUACUAUUCUCAAAAUGAUAUUUUUACGUUUAAAGCGACUCACAUUUUCCCUCCAAUGCAUCUAACCUCAAUGGACCCAACAUCAGAAAGAAAUUAUAGUUUUGCUUUUGGCAGAAUCAGAUAUAAUCAACAAAAGUUCAUAAAGUCAAGUAAACUUUGAAACAUAUGCCACUGUUCUUUUUAAAAAAAACUUUUGUUUUUAAUUAAUUGUAGACUCACAGGAAGUCAUAAAAAUAAUAUAGAGAGUUCCCUAUAGCUUUUCCUCAGCUUCCAAGCUAACACCUUAUCUAACUGCAGUAUACCAUCAAAACCAUGGAAUUGGCACCAACAUUGCUGCUGUUGCCACAAUUCUAUUUGGACAGCUGAAAGUAUAGAAACUGAAAAUUGAAAACCCUAAAGCCUAAGGAAAAAAAAAGACAUUUCAUCUCCUUCUAAGAUCGACCACUAUCAGGUUC